AAUAUUGGACAAUGGGCGAAAGCCUGACGCAGCGACGCCGCGUGAGUGAAGAAGGCCUUCGGGUUGUAAAACUCUGUCCUCAGGGAAGAAGAAAGUGACGGUACCUGAGGAGGAAGCCCCGGCUAACUACGUGCCAGCAGCCGCGGUAAUACGUAGGGGGCGAGCGUUGUCCGGAAUUAUUGGGCGUAAAGGGUGCGUAGGCGGCUUUUUAAGUCAGAUGUGAAAGACCACAGCUUAACUGUGGGGUUGCAUUUGAAACUGGAGAGCUUGAGUAUCGGAGAGGGUAGUGGAAUUCCUGGAGUAGCGGUGAAAUGCGUAGAUAUCAGGAGGAACACCAGUGGCGAAGGCGACUACCUGGACGAAAACUGACGCUGAGGCACGAAAGCUAGGGGAGCAAAC
Molecule: ribosomal RNA, 399 nt
Filed under: uncultured bacterium
Lineage: Bacteria
Description: partial 16S ribosomal RNA
Rfam family: Bacterial small subunit ribosomal RNA
Source: RNAcentral